Molecule: ribosomal RNA, 219 nt
Filed under: uncultured Lactobacillus sp.
Lineage: Bacteria; Bacillati; Bacillota; Bacilli; Lactobacillales; Lactobacillaceae
Description: partial 16S ribosomal RNA
Rfam family: Bacterial small subunit ribosomal RNA
Source: RNAcentral
UAACAACCUGGAAACAGAUGCUAAUACCGGAUAACAACAGAUGAUGCCUAUCAACUGUUUAAAAGAUGGUUCUGUUAUCACUCUUGGAUGGACCUGCGGUGCAUUAGCUAGUUGGUAGGGUAACGGCCUACCAAGGCGAUGAUGCAUAGCCGAGUUGAGAGACUGAUCGGCCACAUUGGGACUGAGACACGGCCCAAACUCCUACGGGAGGCAGCAGGG